RNAcentral lists this ribosomal RNA (568 nucleotides) under eukaryote marine clone ANT37-5. Its description in RNAcentral is "SSU rRNA". It matches the Rfam family "Eukaryotic small subunit ribosomal RNA", at positions 400 to 971 of the family's 1831-position model. The record is from RNAcentral.
GAAAUGGCUACCACAUCCAAGGAAGGCAGCAGGCGCGUAAAUUGCCCGAAUCCUGACACAGGGAGGUAGUGACAAGAAAUAACAAUACAGGGCUACUUCUAGUCUUGUAAUUGGAAUGAGUACAACUUACAUCUCUUCACGAGGAUCAAUUGGAGGGCAAGUCUGGUGCCAGCAGCCGCGGUAAUUCCAGCUCCAAUAGCGUAUAUUAAAGUUGUUGCAGUUAAAAAGCUCGUAGUCGGAUUUCGGGUCGGGCCGAGCGGUCUGCCGAUGGGUAUGCACUGUUUGGCGCGGCCUUCUUUCCGGAGACCGCGGCUACUCUUAACUGAGCGGGCGUGAGAGACGGAUCGUUUACUUUGAAAAAAUCAGAGUGUUUCAAGCAGGCAGCUCGCUCUUGCAUGGAUUAGCAUGGGAUAAUUGAAUAGGACUCUGGUGCUAUUUUGUUGGUUUCGAACACCGGAGUAAUGAUUAACAGGGACAGUCAGGGGCACUCGUAUUCCGUCGAGAGAGGUGAAAUUCUCAGACCAAUGGAAGACGAACCACUGCGAAAGCAUUUGCCAGGGAUGUUUUC